RNAcentral lists this ribosomal RNA (255 nucleotides) under uncultured bacterium. RNAcentral's name for it is "partial 16S ribosomal RNA". It matches the Rfam family "Bacterial small subunit ribosomal RNA", at positions 524 to 776 of the family's 1533-position model. The record is from RNAcentral.
UACGUAGGGGGCAAGCGUUGUCCGGAUUUACUGGGCGUAAAGCGCGCGUAGGCGGAACGAUCAGUCCGGUCUGAAAGCCCCCGGCUCAACCGGGGAGGGUGGCUGGAAACUGUCGUUCUUGAGGGCGAGAGAGGAGGGUGGAAUUCCGUGGUGUAGCGGUGAAAUGCGUAGAGAUCCGGAAGAACACCGGUGGCGAAGGCGGCCUGACUGGGCAGUUUAGCUGACACUGAGGCGCGACAGCGUGGGAGCAACAGG